UAAAAGAAUAAAAGUCUCCUAACAGAAUUUAAUCUUUACAGUAACCAUGACCCUGCCAAGUAAGUACUGUUAUUAUUCUCAUCUUACAGGUGAGGAAACUAAGGCAAACCAGUGAAGUUAAAAGAAUAAAAGUCUCCUAACAGAAUUUAAUCUUUACAGUAACCAUGACUCUGCCAAGUGAGGAAACUAAGGCAAACCAGUGAAGUUAAAAGAAUAAAAGUCUCCUAACAGAAUUUAAUCUUUACAGUAACCAUGACCCUGCCAAGUGAGGAAACUAAGGCAAACCAGGGAAGUUAAAAGAAUAAAAGUCUCCUAACAGAAUUUAAUCUUUACAGUAACCAUGACCCUGCCAAGUAAG
Molecule: long non-coding RNA, 358 nt
Organism: Antechinus flavipes (yellow-footed antechinus)
Lineage: Eukaryota; Metazoa; Chordata; Mammalia; Dasyuromorphia; Dasyuridae
Exons: 3
Source: RefSeq, a predicted model, not a curated record